This 405-nucleotide ribosomal RNA is filed under the name uncultured bacterium. RNAcentral's name for it is "bacterial SSU rRNA". It matches the Rfam family "Bacterial small subunit ribosomal RNA", at positions 355 to 772 of the family's 1533-position model. The record is from RNAcentral.
UGGGGAAUAUUGCACAAUGGGCGCAAGCCUGAUGCAGCGACGCCGCGUGAGGGAUGACGGCCUUCGGGUUGUAAACCUCUUUCAGUAGGGAAGAAGCGAAAGUGACGGUACCUGCAGAAGAAGCGCCGGCUAACUACGUGCCAGCAGCCGCGGUAAUACGUAGGUGACAAAUGUUAUCCGGAAUCACUGGGCGUAAAGGGUCUGUAGGCGGUUACUUAGGUCUGAUGUGACAACUCUCGGCUUAACUGAGAGAGCGCAUUGGAAACCGGGUGACUAGAAUCACGUCGAGGUCGGUGGAAUUCCCGGUGUAGUGGUGGAAUGCGUAGAGAUCGGGAGGAACCUCGAAAGCGAAGGCAGCCGGCUAGACGAUGAUUGACGCUGAGGGACGAUAGCGUGGGUAGCAAA